UAAUAAAAUAUUUGGGAAUCAUAAAUAUAUAUUAAAUUUUAUUUGUAAUUUUUGCAAACUUAAAAUAUUGACAUCGUACAAUUUAACAUUUUUACCAUCAAUUAAGGUUUGAAAGGCUUAAGCUGAAAGACAUAACGGCUACUGCUUCUGGAAUUUCUUUGUCGUAUUUCAUUGAGCAAUCGAUGAGUCAGAUAUCAGGCACUGGAAAAUAAUGAUAGAAUAACGGUUGACCCCAACAAUAAGAAAUAAAUCUUGACGUCAACAAAAUAAUCUAACUUUAACGGAGAUAUUACCAUUAUUGGUAUUAAAAAUGGGUGAGAACAGUUCUAAACUAAACUAAAUUAAACGAACGAGCUACUCAUGAAAAAUAUUGAAGUUGUUUUUGCAGUAUAAUUCAUUUUCAAAAUAUUUUGAGAUAUAUAAGUCCAGUUCUGUUUCUAGUUAAAUAAUUCUGAUCUAAUAGCAUGUUACCUCGACGCUAUUUCGUAUCCUUAUACAUAUAUACGAUAAUGUGAAUCUAUGAAACAUGACAUUAUUAUCAUGAGAUUUCUAGAGGUUCUUGCUACAAGACAAGUAGUGGAUGUCACUACAAGACGAAUUUCCUGAAAAUUUUCUAAAUAACGGCUGUUGGUGUGUCGAAAAACUUCGGUCUUGUGUGGAAAUUGUUACUGGAAGAUUUCGAGUUCGAGGUUCUAUCUUCGUACAUUUAAUAUUCUGAGAAAUUUUAGAUGUCAGAAAAAAUAUUUUCACCGUACUUUAUGUAUUGGCAACCUUCGAUACAUUUUGUCGAUGCGGACAUAGAAACUCUAAUGAAUGAAAGCUAUCAUGACGAAAGAAAUCCAACAAAAUUUGUUAGGGCAAAAAGGAAUUAAAAGUAAAGAGAGGGGUAUUCAAUUCCUCACAGUCUAUAACUGACAUUUUCUCAUAGAAGUAUUGGGAACCAAUUGCCGAGGAUCAAUUCACGACAAGAGCAAGUUCCUUAAAUUUAUUGUAGUACAAACAAAAACUUUUUUUAAGGUUUUAGAACUAGAAUAAGUCAAUAACAAUUAAAAAGAUUUUCAAAUAUGUGUACUAAAUAACGGUUAUUUCAAUGUAUUUGUUUCGAACAUUCGAAAAGCGGUGCAAUCUUUUAUCCGUGAGUCGCGCUAGCUUCGUAUAUUUCAUUACAUAUUCGGGAUGCAUGAAAACUAAAGCUAUUUUCAUAAUUUGUGGGUUCUCAACAUUCAAAUUCUAAUGAGAAUAUUUUUACCACUCAAAAUGUAAAAACUGAGUAUGUGGCAAAACGCAAGGGUACAGCAAAAACUACUUUCCAGAAGUGCUUCGAGGACUGGAAAAAACAAUACAUACCAAGAGAUGAUUACUUGAAAUACUCGUCGAUCAAUAUAAGAAAUGGAGCUUUGUUUACAGCACCACUGAUUUGUACACAAUUGCUUUUGCCGGAGGGUACCCAUUACACUUUUCUAAGCCGUUGAUGGUACAAUGCUAGCAGAUAAGGAAGAGCUCUGCAAAUGUUGAGAACGCCAAAAUGGCUUCACAAAAAUUGCAUAGAAGCCACGUGCACCUACGCUUAAACAUAUGUCUGUUUUCAUUGUCUGCUAACUUGAAUUGGCUGUGAGCAAUAUAAGACGCCUGAAUAUCAGAGGGACGGAGAGGGAAGUGUGCAAUGAGAUUUUUGCAAUGCAAAUAUUCAUUUUGGCAACUUGCCAUAUGUAUUUCCAUUCCCAAAACGAAUGGGGAUCACCGACUGACUGCACAAUGACAAAAGAGA
This is a non-coding RNA of Bactrocera oleae (olive fruit fly), 1768 nucleotides long. The record is from RefSeq and is a predicted model, not a curated record. Lineage: Eukaryota; Metazoa; Arthropoda; Insecta; Diptera; Tephritidae.